CAUUUACACCUCAUUCACAAGGUGUGCUUGAUAAUGUUUGUUUGCUUAGAUUAGUUUAUAAUAGUUAUUUGUUUGAUUAAGUUAAUUGAUUUUGGAUUGAUGUUGCUUUGUUUAAAUAAAUUCUGUUAUAAUUUAAGAGAGCAGUUUUGUUUGUGAUUACUGGUGUAUUUGCAUUGUGAUAUAAGCUGGUGAUAUUUUGGUUAUAUUUCCCUGAUUACAGGGUGGUGCCCCAAACGAGAUUAAACAUAGUUUAAUGAUAUUGUUAUUUAUAUUAUUAAUAAUUAAAUAUAAUUAUUAAAGAAUAUAACCAAAGUUGACUUGAUACAACCCC
Long non-coding RNA from Labrus mixtus (cuckoo wrasse), 331 nucleotides. RefSeq lists it as uncharacterized. The transcript has 3 exons. The record is from RefSeq and is a predicted model, not a curated record. Lineage: Eukaryota; Metazoa; Chordata; Actinopteri; Labriformes; Labridae.